UACGAAGGGGGCGAGCGUUAUUCGGAAUCACUGGGCUUAAAGCGCGUGUAGGCGGAUGGGGACGUCGGUCGCUGAAAUCCCCCGGCUCAACCGGGGAACGGGCGCCGAAACGCCCCGUCUCGAGGGACGUAGGGGGACCUGGAACUUCCGGUGGAGCGGUGAAAUGCGUUGAGAUCGGAAGGAACGCCCGUGGCGAAAGCGAGGUCCUGGACGUCUUCUGACGCUGAGACGCGAAAGCUAGGGGAGCGAACGGG
This 254-nucleotide ribosomal RNA is filed under the name uncultured bacterium. RNAcentral's name for it is "partial 16S ribosomal RNA". It matches the Rfam family "Bacterial small subunit ribosomal RNA", at positions 524 to 776 of the family's 1533-position model. The record is from RNAcentral.